Molecule: long non-coding RNA, 837 nt
Organism: Megalobrama amblycephala (Wuchang bream)
Lineage: Eukaryota; Metazoa; Chordata; Actinopteri; Cypriniformes; Xenocyprididae
Exons: 2
Source: RefSeq, a predicted model, not a curated record
UUUUAUAUUUCUAUAGUAAUUUCUGAGUUUUCUAUUAAAAUUAGUGUAACAGGUCGAAAUGGUAAUGAAUUAAUUAAUUGGAAUUAAAUUACACCCGCUUUAGUGGUUUAUCUGAUGAGUAAGUUAAAUUAUAUUAUUUAGCUUGCUGCGUUUAAAUUAUAACGGUUAUAACGGUCGACUAGCCGCUCGGACAAUUCAUUUUCUGGUAAUCUGAGGUAAUAUACUUUAAAAACCGCAUUAAUUCAUUACUUUGAAUUGUUUUACAUCCAUUUCGGUGUUAAUUUGAUUUAUUAUUGUUUUUCCGUUGCUGUUUUUACGCGAUGACUCGACUGAGCUAGCCAUGAUGACCGGGCUGAGUUGUGUCUUUGUAUUAAAGUUUUAAACAGCGACGUAAAUACAAUAACUAAGCUGCACACCCUUAUUAAAUCUCGUUACAUAAGCUACGGUCAUAUUACUAUCAUGUUAUCGUGACCUAAAAAUAACAGAUUUUACAAUAACUUUGUACGUAUUGUCUCACGCACAAGCUGGCGCAUGCAUUUUGUUUGUCAUCUCUCUUUUCAGUAUUUAUUGCCAUCUCGUCCUGUUUGCAGAAUUAACUGUGCCUCCAGCCAUUAAGCAGACCUGAACCAGUUGAUGAAGGUCUUCAGGAUCACCAGAAACUACAGGCAGGUGUGUGAGAAAGUUGGAGCUACAUACUGCAGGACGUUGGUCCUCCAUGACCAGGACUGGACACCACUGUUGUCUAAGCCAGCCACAGUGGAUACAGUGAAGCCACAAACACAGUUCAUAGUUCUUGUAUUUCUAUUACACAUUAAAUAAUAAAAAAUAUAAUGUUAA